RNAcentral lists this ribosomal RNA (1967 nucleotides) under human gut metagenome. RNAcentral describes it as "bacterial LSU rRNA". It matches the Rfam family "Bacterial large subunit ribosomal RNA", at positions 1 to 1980 of the family's 2925-position model. The record is from RNAcentral.
UAAAGUAAGAAAGAGCGUAUGGCGGAUGCCUAGGCACAGAGAGGCGAAGAAGGACGCAGCAAACAGCGAAAUGCGACGGUUAGCAGUAAGCAUGCAACGAUCCGUCGAUGUCCGAAUGGGGGAACCCACCUGGAGUAGAGACCAGGUAUCCUGAAGUGAAUAAAUAGCUUCAGAGAGGCGAGACUCAGGGAACUGAAACAUCUAAGUACCUGAAGGAAGAGAAAAUAAACGAAUGAUUCCCUAAGUAGCGGCGAGCGAAAGGGGAAGAGCCCAAACCGAUCUUAGGAUCGGGGUUGUAGGACUGUCGGCAAAGAGCAAGAAAUCAUUAUAGGCGAACGGAAUGGGAAGUCCGGCGAAACAGGGUGACAGCCCCGUAGCCGAAAUAGUGAAGAAGCACGAGACAGCACCUGAGUACGGCGGGACACGAGGAAUCCUGUCGGAAUCCACCAGGACCAUCUGGUAAGGCUAAAUACUCCUCUGUGACCGAUAGUGAACCAGUACCGUGAGGGAAAGGUGAAAAGAACCCCGGGAGGGGAGUGAAAUAGAACCUGAAACCAUAUGCUUACAAGAAGUUAGAGCCCGUUAAAGGGUGAUAGCGUGCCUUUUGUAGAAUGAACCGGCGAGUUACGAUAUGGAGCGAGGUUAAGCAGGAUAUGCGGAGCCGAAGCGAAAGCGAGUCUUAAUAGGGCGAAAGUUGCAUGUCGUAGACCCGAAACCGAGUGAUCUAGCCAUGACCAGGUUGAAGUUGGGGUAAAACCCGAUGGAGGACCGAACCGACCCCCGUUGAAACGUUGGCGGAUGAGUUGUGGCUAGGGGUGAAAUUCCAAUCGAACUCGGAGAUAGCUGGUUCUCCCCGAAAUAGCUUUAGGGCUAGCGUCGAGGUAAAGUCGUGUGAAGGUAGAGCACUGAAUAUGUGAUGGCCCCAUCUCGGGGUACUGAACAUAAUCAAACUCCGAAUGUCACAAAGAUAUACUCGGCAGUCAGACAGUGGGUGAUAAGGUCCAUUGUCAAAAGGGAAACAGCCCAGACCAUCAGCUAAGGUCCCAAAAUAUAUACUAAGUGGAAAAGGAUGUGGAGAUGUCCAGACAACUAGGAGGUUGGCUCAGAAGCAGCCAUCCUUUAAAGAGUGCGUAACAGCUCACUAGUCGAAUGACUCUGCGCCGAUAAUUUACCGGGGCUAAGUAUAUUACCGAAGCUAUGGAUUUACGCGUAAGCGUGAGUGGUAGGGGAGCGUUCUAUGUGCGGAGAAGCGGUACCGUAAGGAGCCGUGGAGCGCAUAGAAGAGAGAAUGCCGGUGUGAGUAGCGAAACGUGGGUGAGAAUCCCACGCACCGAAAACCCAAGGUUUCCAGAGGAAGGUUCGUCCGCUCUGGGUAAGUCGGGACCUAAGGCGAGGCCGAGAGGCGUAGUCGAUGGACAACAGGUAGAGAUUCCUGUACUUACGGUAUGAAUGAUGGAGUGACGGAGAAGGCUAGCGGAUCCUGCUGAUGGAAAUGCAGGUGCAAGCGAGGUAGCCGACAGCCAGGCAAAUCCGGCUGUCGAAAGGCAAAGGCGUGAGGCGUAUGGAAAGCUGCGGCAAGUACAGAAGUCCGUGAAGCCAGCUUCCAAGAAAAGCUUCUAGUGAUAAUCAUACAGUAACCCGUACCGAAAAUGGACACACAUGGGUGAGGAGAGAAUCCUAAGGUGAGCGAGAGAACUAUAGCUAAGGAACUCUGCAAAAUGACUCCGUAACUUAGGGAUAAGGAGUGCUCAUAGAGAUAUGAGCCGCAGUGAAACGGCCCAAGCGACUGUUUACCAAAAACACAGCUCUAUGCUAAGUCGAAAGACGACGUAUAUGGGGUGACGCCUGCCCGGUGCUGGAAGGUUAAGAGGAUGUGUCAGCGCAAGCGAAGCAUUGAAUUGAAGCCCCAGUAAACGGCGGCCGUAACUAUAACGGUCCUAAGGUAGCGAAAUUCCUUGUCGGGUAAG